AGUGAACGCUGGCGGUAGGCCUAACACAUGCAAGUCGAACGGCAGCACAGUAAGAGCUUGCUCUUACGGGUGGCGAGUGGCGGACGGGUGCGGAAUACAUCGGAAUCUACUUUUUCGUGGGGGAUAACGUAGGGAAACUUACGCUAAUACCGCAUACGACCUACGGGUGAAAGCAGGGGAUCUUCGGACCUUGCGCGAUUGAAUGAGCCGAUGUCGGAUUAGCUAGUUGGCGGGGUAAAGGCCCACCAAGGCGACGAUCCGUAGCUGGUCUGAGAGGAUGAUCAGCCACACUGGAACUGAGACACGGUCCAGACUCCUACGGGAGGCAGCAGUGGGGAAUAUUGGACAAUGGGCGCAAGCCUGAUCCAGCCAUACCGCGUGGGUGAAGAAGGCCUUCGGGUUGUAAAGCCCUUUUGCUGGGAAAGAAAAGCAGCAGGUUAAUACCCCGCUGUUCUGACGGUACCCAAAGAAUAAGCACCGGCUAACUUCGUG
RNAcentral lists this ribosomal RNA (492 nucleotides) under uncultured bacterium. RNAcentral's name for it is "partial 16S ribosomal RNA". It matches the Rfam family "Bacterial small subunit ribosomal RNA", at positions 29 to 507 of the family's 1533-position model. The record is from RNAcentral.